AAUCAAUUAAACCCAUUGUAGAAAAUUAUGGGGAAAGUUAAAAAUGUGUACUUUUGGCUUGAGGCCAAGGGGGGUUGCUGCUCCGUUUUGCUACCUUGCUUACACACUGUUCUUCUCCAAGUUUAGACACCCAAUUCUUCAUAUAGACAUUUCAACAUGCAUGUAAACCCAUCUGACAACUGUCAAUUUGCAUAUAUGUUCAUCUCCCAUUUUUAGAUUCCUCUAACUCUAUCAUUACUUCACAAAUGCCUGC
Molecule: long non-coding RNA, 253 nt
Filed under: Carica papaya (papaya)
Lineage: Eukaryota; Viridiplantae; Streptophyta; Magnoliopsida; Brassicales; Caricaceae
Description: long non-coding RNA (CPAP_LNC000502)
Source: RNAcentral